CUCAUAGCGUAUAUUUAAGUUGUUGCAGUUAAAAAGCUCGUAGUCGGAUUUUGGCUGAGAACGAACGGUCCGCCGUUAGGUGUGCACUGUUUGGUCUCAGCUUCCUGGUGAGGAGGUGUGCUUCACGGCCACUUAGUCACCGUGGUUACUUUGAAAAAAUUAGAGUGUUCAAAGCGGGCUUACGCUUGAAUAUAUUAGCAUGGAAUAACACCAUAGGACUCCUGUCCUAUUUCGUUGGUCUCGGGACGGGAGUAAUGAUUAAGAGGAACAGUUGGGGGCAUUCGUAUUUCAUUGUCAGAGGUGAAAUUCUUGGAUUUAUGAAAGACGAACUUCUGCGAAAGCAUUUGCCAAGGAUGUUUUCAUUGAUCAAGAACGAAAGUUGGGGGCUCGAAGAUGAUUAGAUACCAUCCUAGUCUCAACCAUAAACGAUGCCGACUAGGGAUUGGCGGAUGUUAAUUGAUGACUUCGCCAGCACCUUAUGAGAAAUCAAAGUUUUUGGGUUCCGGGGGGAGUAUGGUCGCAAGGCUGAAACUUAAAGGAAUUGACGGAAGGGCACCACCAGGCGUGGAGCCUGCGGCUUAAUUUGACUCAACACGGGGAAACUUACCAGGUCCAGGCAUAGUAAGGAUUGACAGAUUGAGAGCUCUUUCUUGAUUCUAUGGGUG
This 665-nucleotide ribosomal RNA is filed under the name uncultured eukaryote. RNAcentral describes it as "SSU rRNA". It matches the Rfam family "Eukaryotic small subunit ribosomal RNA", at positions 591 to 1276 of the family's 1831-position model. The record is from RNAcentral.